Molecule: ribosomal RNA, 497 nt
Filed under: uncultured bacterium
Lineage: Bacteria
Description: partial 16S ribosomal RNA
Rfam family: Bacterial small subunit ribosomal RNA
Source: RNAcentral
GAUGAACGCUGGCGGCGUGCCUAAUACAUGCAAGUCGAGCGAACAGAUGAGGAGCUUGCUCCUCUGACGUUAGCGGCGGACGGGUGAGUAACACGUGGAUAACCUACCUAUAAGACUGGGAUAACUUCGGGAAACCGGAGCUAAUACCGGAUAAUAUAUUGAACCGCAUGGUUCAAUAGUGAAAGACGGUUUUGCUGUCACUUAUAGAUGGAUCCGCGCCGCAUUAGCUAGUUGGUAAGGUAACGGCUUACCAAGGCAACGAUGCGUAGCCGACCUGAGAGGGUGAUCGGCCACACUGGAACUGGGACACGGUCCACGCUCCUACGGGAGGCAGCAGUAGGGAAUCUUCCGCAAUAGGCGAAAGCCUGACGGAGCAACGCCGCGUGAGUGAUGAAGGUCUUCGGAUCGUAAAACUCUGUUAUUAGGGAAGAACAAAUGUGUAAGUAACUAUGCACGUCUUGACGGUACCUAAUCAGAAAGCCACGGCUAACUACGUG